This 494-nucleotide small RNA is filed under the name Pan troglodytes (chimpanzee). Its description in RNAcentral is "processed transcript". Lineage: Eukaryota; Metazoa; Chordata; Mammalia; Primates; Hominidae. The record is from RNAcentral.
UCGGGUUUGAAAGGAAUGAAGAGAGCUAAAUGUAGAAACAGCGCUUGAGAGAAGCCUUCACGCGGGGAUUCAGUGCCCCUAGAAGAGGCUGCGCCGCUUUUAACCUUGCCGAUGACGGUUGCUUAGGUCCUCUUGCCCCUGGCCAAUGUGGCAUUAAUUGACUACACUCUGGAAUUCCUGACUGCCACAGGUGUACAGGAAACAUUUGUCUUUUGUUGCUGGAAAGCUGCUCAAAUCAAAGAACAUUUACUGUAAGGCCCUGCAACUUUUCUUUCCAUGUUUCGCCAUCUUUUUCCAGUUUUUUCAGGAUGAAUGUAACUAAGGGGAAAUGUGAGAGGGGAAAAAUGUGUCUACUUAGAUGUCAUUGUAAGUUCUAAGGGUAUUUUCUACACUUAUCAGGAGGUGAGCAGCUGAAACUUUGUAUCUGUCUGUCUUGGGUUUUCUGUGACAAAGAUUAAAGAAUAAACUUGGGUUUUUUCUGAAUCUCAUUAUAA